Molecule: long non-coding RNA, 1739 nt
Organism: Mugil cephalus (flathead mullet)
Lineage: Eukaryota; Metazoa; Chordata; Actinopteri; Mugiliformes; Mugilidae
Exons: 2
Source: RefSeq, a predicted model, not a curated record
UUUAAUAUAUUGUUUUACAUGACGACACUGAAGAUAUGACACUUUGACACAAUCUAAAGGAGUCAGUGUACAGCUCAUAUAAAAGUGGAAAUUUGCAACACAGUCAUUAUUGUCUGAAGCGCUGACAACAAAAGUGAGUACACGUCUAAGUGAAAAUGUCCAAACUGUUCCCAAUUAGCCAUUUUCACUCCCCUGUGUCAUGUGACUCGUUAGUGUGAACAGGUCUCAUGAUAAAUGUGGCGUUUCCACUCUCACACUCUCAUACUGGUCGCUGGGAGUUCAACACGACACCUCAUGGAUAAAAGAACUCUCUCAGGAUGUGGAAAAAAGAAUUGCUGCACUACAAAGACCAACACCACAUAGGCCAAGACCAUACAGUGGUUUAACAGGACGGUUCCACUCAGAACCGACUUUACCAUCAUAGACCAAAGAAGUUGAGUGCAUUUGCUGAGCGUCAUAUCCAGAGGAAACCUGUGAAACUCUAGUGAACUCCAGGACCAAGAGAGUUCAGGCAGUGCUGGAAAAUAAUGGUGGCCACACAAAAUAUUGUUUUGAGUUAUUCUGAGGGGACAGCACAUGUACACUGUUAUGUGAGCUGUACACCGACUACUUAACAUUGUGUGAAAGUAUCAUAUCGUCAGUGUUGUCAUGUGAAAAGAUUUAUUAAAAUAUUUACAAAAGUGUGAGAGGUGUAUUCGCUUUUGUGAGAUACAGUAGAUUUUACCGUGAGACGUGUAAUAAAAGACGAGUCAGAGAGUUUGUGUCAGUCACAAUUAUUUUAUAGGAGCGACUACAACCACCAACCAGCCCACAAUAUCCAACUGAAAACACCACAACUCUGCAAAGACAAAAACUUAACAUACAAAAAAUAAACUCUUCAAACUGCCCCUUUAAUCUCUACAUAGCUCAUCUGACUUGAUCUAGACAAGUGACUUCAGACCAGGUCCACACACACUGUGAUGACGCUUCAAUAAUUAAACUCAGACAAACCAAGCUCAGCAAAGUGUGUGUUGGUUGGUUUGGCUGCAGAGUUUCAGUCUGAGCCAGCGUCGCUCUCACAGGGAACCAGGCGGCUAGCUAGCAUCUCAGCUGGUUACAGUAACUUAUUAAGCUCAGUUUGAAAACAAAAAAUACAGCAUGAGAAACGUUUCAAGUCAGGAUGUUCAUAAAAAAAAAAUAAACAAACAAACAAAAAACCAAAUCAAAAAGAAAAUGGUUGUGUAAAACUGAUCAGUCACCCUGUGUUUGUGUAUUUACAGAUGUGUGUACAGGUGUAUACGGGUAAAUUUGUUUGUCUUGUGGCUGGAUGUACCUGCAUUUACUUCUAUACUCAGGUGUUAUUCAUCGCCAACAGGUCUGGUUUUUAAUGGCGUCUGUUUCCGUGGCAACCAGCUCCAUCAGCGAUUGGACUGCGACAUUAACCGAUACCAGACAUCCUAGACAUUCACAUAAAACACACGAAUAAGAUGUCAGCUGAUCAGGAAGGUACCAGCUGAUCAGGGCGGUACCAGCUGAUCAGGAAGGUACCAGCUGAUCUGGAAGGUACCAGCUGAUCAGGAAGGUACCAGCUGAUCAGGGCGGUACCAGCUGAUCAGGACGGUACCAGCUGAUCAGGGCGGUACCAGCUGAUCAGGGCCUACUGGUUGGUCUCAAACCUCCUGGACUCAGAUCUAAUGAUGAACAUCUGACAGAAACGUCAGACGUUUGUUUAAAAAUAAACUCUGUUCAACAUAUUUACA